This 910-nucleotide long non-coding RNA is filed under the name Helianthus annuus (common sunflower). The record is from RNAcentral. Lineage: Eukaryota; Viridiplantae; Streptophyta; Magnoliopsida; Asterales; Asteraceae.
GCAAAACAUCCUUUCUUUUAAUAAGAUAUAUAUUUUAAAACCACUCUGGAUGUUUCUACCCACAGACAAACCACGCUAGGGUUUCAUUUGAUCCCCUUUUCACCUUCAAAAUACCCAAAAAAAAUCUCAAUUAAGCUACAAAUUUGACAUCAUUUUCAACGAUUAGAUUGUAAUGGCGGAGCAUCUGAGUUGAAAAACUGCACCGAUGAUUACGUCACCGGAGUGAGUCCGUGAAGGUUCACACGUGUCAGAGAUGACGAACGGCUGUAAACCGGAGACGAGUAGAAACUCGAACUCGUUGAUGUCGCAAAUGGCGGUGAAAUGACGUCAGCAAUGAACGCCGAUGAGUAGCUUCCUAUACGUCCGUACGAAGAACUUAACCGGUUAAACGCCGAUGUCUACGGCAUCACAGAAACGGUUGGCGGUUGAGGACAAUCGCCGGAGAAAAGUUUUCAGGGAUAUGAUGAACGAAGAUGUACUAAAUCCAAAAAAAACAGUGUUGAUGAACUCGUGAUGGUGAAGAUUUCCGGUAAAUAUUCCGUGUAGAUUUGUUGCAGAUGGCCUGUUAAUCCCAGUGCAGAGGCAAAGUUGCUGAUAACGUGAUAUAAACCAAAUGGAAUUAUCUAUUAGAUUGCAAGUGAUUGUAUUGAAUCUUCUGGAAAAAUCAAUCACCAAAUAAUAAUAUACAAGAGUAUUAUAUAAUACAAGCAGUUACAAGGUGUUAAUACAAGCGGUUACAAGGUGUUAACUGCCAAGGCAGUUACAAGGGGAAAACGUAUAUCUGGUUUUAUAACAUCUACAUGUUUUUAGAUUUAAUAACUUUGUUAUACAUCUGUAAAAAAGUUGGUUUAUUUUUAUACAACAUUUGCUAUAUUUUUUUGCUUCUUUGUUAUUUCAUUAUUGGUUGUUC